This 18-nucleotide small RNA is filed under the name Arabidopsis thaliana (thale cress). Its description in RNAcentral is "ATSL156300". The record is from RNAcentral. Lineage: Eukaryota; Viridiplantae; Streptophyta; Magnoliopsida; Brassicales; Brassicaceae.
CUCAAGUUCCUCUGCAUU